RNAcentral lists this ribosomal RNA (400 nucleotides) under uncultured bacterium. RNAcentral describes it as "bacterial SSU rRNA". It matches the Rfam family "Bacterial small subunit ribosomal RNA", at positions 355 to 752 of the family's 1533-position model. The record is from RNAcentral.
UGAGGAAUAUUGGUCAAUGGGCGGAAGCCUGAACCAGCCAUCCCGCGUGCAGGAAGACGGCCCUAUGGGUUGUAAACUGCUUUUCCAGGGGGAGAAACUUUCCGAUGCAUCGGGAUUUGACGGUACCCUGGGAAUAAGCAUCGGCUAACUCCGUGCCAGCAGCCGCGGUAAUACGGAGGAUGCGAGCGUUAUCCGGAUUUAUUGGGUUUAAAGGGUGCGUAGGCGGGUUAAUAAGUCAGUGGUGAAAACCUACAGCUUAACUGUAGACUUGCCGUUGAUACUGUUAGUCUUGAGUGUGGUCAAGGUAGGCGGAAUGUGUAAUGUAGCGGUGAAAUGCUUAGAUAUUACACAGAACACCGAUUGCGAAGGCAGCUUACUGGGCCAUUACUGACGCUGAUGC